This 1972-nucleotide long non-coding RNA is filed under the name Theobroma cacao (cacao). RNAcentral's name for it is "long non-coding RNA (TCAC_LNC004894)". The record is from RNAcentral. Lineage: Eukaryota; Viridiplantae; Streptophyta; Magnoliopsida; Malvales; Malvaceae.
CCGGCCAAAGCAAAAACAAAGGAAGAAAAAAGGAAGAACAAAACCCUAGGUCAAAAAAUUCAAGGGCAAAGUGUGAAAAUUCAAGGAAACAAGUGAAAAAAGGGUAAAAAUUUUCAAUUAAGCUUGAGAUCUCUCUUUCUUAAGCAAUUUUUUUUAUUUUUCAUGGUUGAAUCACAUAAUUUCAUGAUGAAUCCCAUGCUGGCCGAACACUUAGAGGGGGGUUUUGAUGCUUGAUUUGGUUAGAUUUCAUGUAUUUUGGUAUUUUUAGUUAGUUAGUGAUGUGUAGCAUGAAAAGCCAACAAGAAAAAUUCAUUUUCUCCCAUCACCCAUCAUUGGAUGAAUUCUCCAUGUAGAAUAUUGAUGAUGAUUUUGAUUUUAUUUCAAGUGAUUUGGUUAGGAAUUAGUGAUUUAUGGUGUGAGAAUCAAGUAGGAAAAAUCAUAAUGUUGAUGCACUUACCAUGACCGAAAUUCUUAAGAAGAAAUGUAAGGAUGAUUUUGCUAAAUUUUAUGUUAUUUGACUUGUGUUUGGUGAUUUGAAGUAUUGGGAGAAAAAUGGAAUUAUUGGAGUUAAAUUGGACAUAUUGGCCAAUAAAUCUAGUGAUUGAUUGAAUUAGGCCAAUACUGUUUUAUUUAGGUACACAAUUGAAUUUGUGUAGAACACCGUGUUUAGACGAUAAUCCGAACAAUUUACAUCCCAUUUCAUGCAUUAGUAUAAAGCCUGAAUUGGUUUUAUAACAAUUUAGCACAAAUGUAGUAAAUGGCUUAUUGUGCAUUAUGUAUAGGUGGUGAGCAUUCUGGCAAAAGUAAAGAGAUAGUAUUCGAGGAUCAAGAAUCGGAGUACUCGAAAUUCGACUCCCGAAAUAGUGAGUAACCUUACUAUCGUCUUAAUUAUCUAAAGUAGUUUUUAUUCGUUUUUGUGAAUGUUAUGGAAAAUGAGUUUAAAUGGUAAAUCUUUAUGUUUUAUAAACAAAAUGUGAUUAAAUGAAAUGAUUUUAUAAAACUGUCUUAAAAUUGAAUUAUGGUUUUGAAAAUGGAGUAAUUGGAGACUAAUUGCUGUGUUGUAAAUUAUGGUUUGAAUUGAAUGGCUUAUGAUAAUGUGGGCAUGAAUGGCUGGAUUUGGUAAAUGUGUUGAAAAUGUAUGAACUGUUGAUUUGCCUUGAGAGGUUGUAAAAUAAAAUAAUUGCCAUAUCAUGCUAUUGCAAAUUUUAUUGAAUUGGUGGGUUAUAUAUUGGUCACUACAGUGGAUGAGUUCCAUGGACCAGCCUAUUAGAGGGGCUUGGUAACCCUCUUAUAUUCUUACCUCAGUAUGAGAGGCACGGAUGGAUAACUCCUGAGGUUAACACUUUAAAGUUCACUUCACGCCAAACCACCACGUGAAGGUAAACUCUGCCAACGCCAAGGAAUGGCUAUGUUUUCAAAAUAAAAACAUGAUUGAUGCGUACAUGACUUUUAACAGUCUUGGCGGACUCGGUUGGGAUAACCCUUGCCCAAGGUAUCCCUGAUAACUGAGUAUGAUGAUGAUUUUGGCACGAGCCAAACUUUUUAGGAAAUCAUAAGCCUCGUUGUUUAUUUUGGUGAAAUGAAUCUAUUUUAUCUUAUUAAAAUGAGUUUGAAAUGCUGAGAAUCAUUUUUAUGCUAAUCUAUUUUAUCUGUCUCCAUUUACUCAGCUUUAGAUAUUUUAGAUGGUAUUUGUUUACUCAUUGGGAUUAUAUAAUCUCACCACCCUCCUUUUCACCCAUUUCAGGCUCAAGAUAGUCGGUAGAUAGCUCACUUUGUUGAGGUCUAUAGUUGGACUUGCAUCCUCAAAAACUGUCGGUUUACCACUUUUGAUACUUUUGGUCGUUCAUGGGCCCACGUGUCAUUGUGAAUUAAAUUUUAUACUUUGGUUAUCUGUAUUACAAUAUGUGUGAAUUUAUUUAGCUUUUAUGCUACAAAAAUUAUUUAUCGGUAACUCUAUAAAUAUUAUUUUAUA